UUGGGACAGAGAGAAGCAUGAUUCCAGGCCAAGUUCUUGCAUUCUCAGGUCGAGCUUCCUUAGAUUCCCUUUCUUCCAGGCGGCUGGUUCCUUCUCCUCUGUCUAGACGUUCCACAGGAGACGCAGUAUCGCAUCUGCUGAAAUCUUUAUACCUGCCUUGAGGGCUUCUGGGAGAAUUCCGUCAGGCCCAGCUGUCUUUCUGUUCCCCGGUUUCCUCAGAUCAAAAGCUACGGCCAAGGGUUUUUUUUUUCAAAAGUACACCAAACUUCAAAGUCAGUGUCAUGAGAUGAAAAAUCAUAGAACAUUCGAAAAAGUCUUGUCACAGACUAACCUAAUUCUAAGGAGUUGUCCUGUGCCAUCAGCGGUGUUUGGGAGUGGAUGAGGCUAUCUAGGGCGUCAUGUUUGGGGGUUCCUGGCAUUUUUGCGGAUCUGUGUGUAGUGGUAUUUUAUGAAACUGUCACCUGUAAGAUAUCGAAUGGUAGUUUACAACACUCUAUAUACAUGUAAACAAAUUUCAGCUUUACUGAGAUGCAUCUGGCUGAAGAUGCAGUUGCUAAUUAAAAACACCUUUCCAAA
Saccostrea echinata is the source of this 576-nucleotide long non-coding RNA. RefSeq lists it as uncharacterized. The transcript is spliced from 2 exons. Lineage: Eukaryota; Metazoa; Mollusca; Bivalvia; Ostreida; Ostreidae. The record is from RefSeq and is a predicted model, not a curated record.